This 72-nucleotide transfer RNA is filed under the name Danionella translucida. It matches the Rfam family "tRNA". From Rfam's summary of the family: Transfer RNA (tRNA) molecules are approximately 80 nucleotides in length. Their secondary structure includes four short double-helical elements and three loops (D, anti-codon, and T loops). The record is from Rfam by way of RNAcentral. Lineage: Eukaryota; Metazoa; Chordata; Actinopteri; Cypriniformes; Danionidae. RNAcentral also lists the same sequence under 1 other name.
GGUUCUAUGGUGUAAUGGUUAGCACUCUGGACUCUGAAUCCAGCAAUUCGAGUUCAAAUUUUUGUAGGAUCU